This 1641-nucleotide ribosomal RNA is filed under the name Anteaglonium rubescens. RNAcentral's name for it is "eukaryotic LSU rRNA". The stretch from base 740 to 1641 matches the Rfam family "Eukaryotic large subunit ribosomal RNA", at positions 1 to 940 of the family's 3401-position model. The record is from RNAcentral. Lineage: Eukaryota; Fungi; Ascomycota; Dothideomycetes; Pleosporales; Anteagloniaceae.
CACACCGCCCGUCGCUACUACUGAUUGAAUGGCUCACUGAGGCCUUCGGACUGGCUCAGGGAGGUUGGCAACGACCACCCCGAGCCGGAAAGGUGGUCAAACUCGGUCAUUUAGAGGAAGUAAAAGUCGUAACAAGGUUCCGUAGGUGAACCUGCGGAAGGAUCAUUGAAGAGGGGGGCUUCGCGCCCCCUCCCCGUAUUACCCGGGGGAACCCUCCCGCGGCAGGGGGCCCUUGACCGGGCAUCUCGAGACCCCCCGUGUGGCCACACGGGGGGGCACCCUCCCGCGGCGGCGACCCUUGACCCCAACCCCCCGUCCUUGCAGAACCCCCUGUUUCCUCGGCGGGCUCGCCCGCCGAGGAGGACCCCCAUCAAAACCCCUUGAAGUGCCUGCAGUAAACGUCCACGCGAGUAAAAUCGAAUCAAAACUUUCAACAACGGAUCUCUUGGUUCUGGCAUCGAUGAAGAACGCAGCGAAAUGCGAUAAGUAGUGUGAAUUGCAGAAUUCAGUGAAUCAUCGAAUCUUUGAACGCACAUUGCGCCCUUUGGCAUUCCUUAGGGCAUGCCUGUUCGAGCGUCAUCUAACCACUCAAGCGCUGCUUGGUGUUGGGCGCCUGUCCCGCCUCCGCGCGCGGACUCGCCUCGAAGACAUUGGCGGCCCGUGCAACGGCCAUGAGCGCAGCAGACCCGCGCCUCACGGACCCCCGCGCGGGCGCCCACCAAGCGCACCCCCCAACGUUUGACCUCGGAUCAGGUAGGGAUACCCGCUGAACUUAAGCAUAUCAAUAAGCGGAGGAAAAGAAACCAACAGGGAUUGCCCCAGUAACGGCGAGUGAAGCGGCAACAGCUCAAAUUUGAAAUCUGGCCCCCCCGGGGGCCCGAGUUGUAAUUUGCAGAGGGUGCUUUGGCGUCGGCAGCGGCCUAAGUUCCUUGGAACAGGGCGUCAUAGAGGGUGAGAACCCCGUACGUGGCCGCCCGCCUUCGCCGUGUAAAGCCCCUUCGACGAGUCGAGUUGUUUGGGAAUGCAGCUCUAAAUGGGAGGUAAAUUCCUUCUAAAGCUAAAUACUGGCCAGAGACCGAUAGCGCACAAGUAGAGUGAUCGAAAGAUGAAAAGCACUUUGGAAAGAGAGUCAAACAGCACGUGAAAUUGUUGAAAGGGAAGCGCUUGCAGCCAGACUUGCCCGCGGUCGUUCUUCUUCCGCGGGCAGGCCAGCAUCAGUCUGGGCGGUCGGAUAAAGGCCCCGGGAACGUAGCUCUCUCCGGGGAGUGUUAUAGCCCGGGGCGCCAUGCGGCCAGCCCGGACUGAGGUCCGCGCAUCUGCCAGGAUGCUGGCGUAAUGGCUGUAAGCGGCCCGUCUUGAAACACGGACCAAGGAGUCUAACAUCUAUGCGAGUGUUUGGGUGUCAAGCCCGGGCGCGCAAUGAAAGUGAACGGAGGUGGGAACCCCCCCCGGGGCGCACCAUCGACCGAUCCUGAUGUCUUCGGAUGGAUUUGAGUAAGAGCAUAGCUGUUGGGACCCGAAAGAUGGUGAACUAUGCCUGAAUAGGGUGAAGCCAGAGGAAACUCUGGUGGAGGCUCGCAGCGGUUCUGACGUGCAAAUCGAUCGUCAAAUUUGGGCAUAGGGGCGAAAGACUAAUCGAAC